UACGGAGGAUCCAAGCGUUAUCCGGAAUUACUGGGCGUAAAGAGUUGCGUAGGUGGCAGAGUAAGCAAGGCAUGAAAUCGUAUGGCUCAACCAUAUAUCCAUGUUUUGAACUACUCAGCUAGAGAGCGAGAGAGGUAGAUGGAAUUCUCAGUGUAGGAGUGAAAUCCGUAGAUAUUGGGAGGAACACCGAUGGCGUAGGCAGUCUACUGGCUCGUUUCUGACACUAAGGCACGAAAGCGUGGGGAGCAAACAGG
This 254-nucleotide ribosomal RNA is filed under the name uncultured bacterium. Its description in RNAcentral is "partial 16S ribosomal RNA". It matches the Rfam family "Bacterial small subunit ribosomal RNA", at positions 524 to 776 of the family's 1533-position model. The record is from RNAcentral.